UCAAACGGCCAUAUUUGGUUGGUUAUACAGGUUCCCUUAAGAUCAUCGAAAUUAAGCAACAAUCGGCAGAGUCAGUACUUUGUUAGGAGACUCCCUGGGAAAGCGUCGUGCUGUCUUUA
This 119-nucleotide ribosomal RNA is filed under the name Thelohanellus kitauei. Lineage: Eukaryota; Metazoa; Cnidaria; Myxozoa; Bivalvulida; Myxobolidae. The record is from RNAcentral.